Molecule: non-coding RNA, 31 nt
Filed under: Homo sapiens (human)
Lineage: Eukaryota; Metazoa; Chordata; Mammalia; Primates; Hominidae
Source: RNAcentral
UGCGGCUGUAGCACCGGCUGGAAAGUGUCUU